This 154-nucleotide transfer RNA is filed under the name Candidatus Woesearchaeota archaeon. RNAcentral describes it as "tRNA-Ile". It matches the Rfam family "tRNA". Rfam says of the family: Transfer RNA (tRNA) molecules are approximately 80 nucleotides in length. Lineage: Archaea; Nanobdellati; Candidatus Woesearchaeota. The record is from RNAcentral.
GGCCCUGUAGCUUAGCCUGGUAGAGCGCUGCUCUUAUAAAGCAGAGGUCCCGAGUUCAAACAGCGUCGCUACCCUGGGAAGCAGUCAAGUGCCAUUUGAUAAUGGCACGAAAUAUCCAAGAGAGUAACGACGCCUGACAGUCUCGGCAGGGCCA